CAGCAACCACAGAGACAGUCGGUCUACUAGUACUCGAGCGGCGGACAAAAGCGGGUGGGUUGUGUUUGCACGCGUGGCGUCGCGGUUAGUGAAGUGAAAAGUGUACGUUAAUUUAUCGUUCCCCUCCAGCAUAUUCUUCUCGGUGGAUUUGGUGAGUACCCGUAUCACAGGUCUCAUCGUGGGACAGACAGCGCUGGAGCACCCCUUCGAAAAAAAGUAAAGUGAAGAUACUGUUUCCUAGGUGUUAGGGCGAUAGGUUGCGCGGCUAAUCUUCAUUGCCUUUCAGGUACAAUCUAAUGAAUGUUCUUUUUCAGGUACAUACUAAUGAAUGAUCUAGCCUUUCCCAGAGUAGUAAUGCCUUUGUUAGUACACUGUGGCGGCGACCAGAUGGAAACUCCAAUUUGGUGAAGGAAGACUGUGCUGGUGGCGGGCGUGCUACUUUCAUAUGGAUUGCGUGGGAGAUGUGUCCACUUAUUUUAACUGAGUUGGUGCGUGUCCUGAAGAAAUGGUCGCGAAGACGCAAACUCAAAAACUAGACCAGAGUCGCAAAGGUGUAAAAAGAAGAUAUUUGAAUGGAAGUCGGAAAAUCUCACGGCGUUCUGACAAUGGGAAAGGUGAGGGAAUGGUUCUAUCUUGCCUC
Long non-coding RNA from Scylla paramamosain (green mud crab), 640 nucleotides. RefSeq lists it as uncharacterized. The transcript has 3 exons. The record is from RefSeq and is a predicted model, not a curated record. NCBI's taxonomy places the organism in Eukaryota, Metazoa, Arthropoda, Malacostraca, Decapoda, Portunidae.